RNAcentral lists this ribosomal RNA (468 nucleotides) under uncultured bacterium. Its description in RNAcentral is "partial 16S ribosomal RNA". It matches the Rfam family "Bacterial small subunit ribosomal RNA", at positions 28 to 507 of the family's 1533-position model. The record is from RNAcentral.
GACGAACGCUGGCGGCGUGCUUAACACAUGCAAGUCGAACGGAAAGGCCCUGCUUUUGUGGGUUGCUCGAGUGGCGAACGGGUGAGUAACACGUGUGUAACCUCCCCUUGACUUUGGGAGAACUUCAGGAAACUGGGGCUAAUACCGGAGAGAAGCUCCUGAUGCAUGGGGGGGGUUGGAAAGUUUCGGCGGUUGGGGAUGGACUCGCGGCUUAUCAGCUUGUUGGUGGGGUAGUGGCUUACAAGGGCUUUGACGGGUAGCCGGCCUGAGAGGGUGACCGGCGACAUGGGGACUGAGAGACGGCCCAGAAUCCUACGGGAGGCAGUAGUGGGGAAUAUUGCACAAUGGGCGGAAGCCUGAUGCAGCAACGCCGCGUGCGGGAUGACGGCCUUCUGGUUGUAAACCGCUUUCGCCUGUGACGAAGCGUGAGUGACGGUAAUGGGUAAAGAAGCACCGGCUAACUACGUG